UGGGGAAUUUUGGACAAUGGGCGAAAGCCUGAUCCAGCAAUGCCGCGUGUGUGAAGAAGGCCUUCGGGUUGUAAAGCACUUUUGUCCGGAAAGAAAUCCUUGGCUCUAAUACAGUCGGGGGAUGACGGUACCGGAAGAAUAAGCACCGGCUAACUACGUGCCAGCAGCCGCGGUAAUACGUAGGGUGCAAGCGUUAAUCGGAAUUACUGGGCGUAAAGCGUGCGCAGGCGGUUUGCUAAGACCGAUGUGAAAUCCCCGGGCUCAACCUGGGAACUGCAUUGGUGACUGGCAGGCUAGAGUAUGGCAGAGGGGGGCAGAAUUCCACGUGUAGCAGUGAAAUGCGUAGAGAUGUGGAGGAAUACCGAUGGCGAAGGCAGCCCCCUGGGCCAAAUACUGACGCUCAUGCACGAAAAGCGUGGGGAGCAAAACAGGAUUAGAUACCCUGGUAGUCCACGCCCUAAAACGAUGUCAACUAGUUGUUGGGGAUUCAUUUCCUUAGUAACGUAGCUAACGCGUGAAGUUGACCGCCUGGGGAGUACGGUCGCAAGAUUAAAACUUAAAUGAAUUGACGGGGUCAUAGCUGUUUCCU
Molecule: ribosomal RNA, 589 nt
Filed under: uncultured bacterium
Lineage: Bacteria
Description: partial 16S ribosomal RNA
Rfam family: Bacterial small subunit ribosomal RNA
Source: RNAcentral